Molecule: ribosomal RNA, 283 nt
Filed under: uncultured bacterium
Lineage: Bacteria
Description: partial 16S ribosomal RNA
Rfam family: Bacterial small subunit ribosomal RNA
Source: RNAcentral
AAGCCUUUACAGGGAAAGUUUUAACGCCGAAAGAUGAGCCCGCACUUGAUUAGCUAGUUGGUAAGGUAAAAGCUUACCAAGGCAACGAUCAAUAGCUGUUCUUAGAGGAAGACCAGCCACAUUGGGACUGAGACACGGCCCAGACUCCUACGGGAGGCAGCAGUGGGGAAUCUUGCACAAUGGGGGAAACCCUGAUGCAGCGAUGCCGCGUGAGUGAAGAAGGCCCUUGGGUUGUAAAACUCUUUCGUCGGGGAAGAAAAUGACUGUACCCGAAUAAGAAGGU